UCUUCUACUCUUUUCUUUUUCAUUUUCUCUCAACACAACACAAACGUUUCUCUCAUCCUCUCUCACCGGUGCUCAUCCUCCACCAUCUACACCAUCUUUUCACGUCAAGAUCACCUGAAAACUCUUUAGGAAUCUCUAAGACAUCUUCAUCCAUUUUAUUUAAAAGUAGGCAACUAUCGUUUUGUGACAGCUUUUUGGUGGCUAGCAGUAGUUAGACUAAUUGUUGAUGGAGGUUGACUUUUGUGAUGGAGAGAAUUGUUAAUGUAUAACUUAGAGUAGGCUUGACCCAAUUCUUUUGUAUUAAAUAGUGGUUAUGCCUUUAUUUCCACUAAUGGGACAAGUUGAUGAUAUGUAAUUAUUUUUUCAGACCUCCAUUCUUUUGUGACCAAUGGUCAUUGUAUUUAUUGCAUAGAGCUCUGACUUACUUCGGGAUUGAA
Quercus robur (English oak) is the source of this 437-nucleotide long non-coding RNA. RefSeq lists it as uncharacterized. The record is from RefSeq and is a predicted model, not a curated record. The transcript has 2 exons. NCBI's taxonomy places the organism in Eukaryota, Viridiplantae, Streptophyta, Magnoliopsida, Fagales, Fagaceae.